Molecule: ribosomal RNA, 279 nt
Filed under: uncultured bacterium
Lineage: Bacteria
Description: partial 16S ribosomal RNA
Rfam family: Bacterial small subunit ribosomal RNA
Source: RNAcentral
UGCCAGCCGCCGCGGUAAUACGGAGAGUGCAAGCGUUGUUCGGAAUUACUGGGCGUAAAGGGCAUCUAGGUGGACUAGUAAGUCAGGUGUGAAAGCCCUCGGCUCAACCGAGGAAGUGCAUCUGAAACUACUAGACUUGAGUAUUGGAGGGGACAGCGGAAUUCCUGGUGUAGAGGUGAAAUUCGUAGAUAUCAGGAGGAACACCAGUGGCGAAGGCGGCUGUCUGGCCAAAUACUGACACUGAAGUGCGAAAGCGUGGGGAGCAAACAGGAUUAGAUA